GAUGAACGCUAGCUACAGGCUUAACACAUGCAAGUCGAGGGGCAGCAUGAACUUAGCUUGCUAAGUUUGAUGGCGACCGGCGCACGGGUGAGUAACACGUAUCCAACCUGCCGAUGACUCGGGGAUAGCCUUUCGAAAGAAAGAUUAAUACCCGAUGGCAUAGUUCUUCCGCAUGGUAGAACUAUUAAAGAAUUUCGGUCAUCGAUGGGGAUGCGUUCCAUUAGGUUGUUGGCGGGGUAACGGCCCACCAAGCCUUCGAUGGAUAGGGGUUCUGAGAGGAAGGUCCCCCACAUUGGAACUGAGACACGGUCCAAACUCCUACGGGAGGCAGCAGUGAGGAAUAUUGGUCAAUGGACGAGAGUCUGAACCAGCCAAGUAGCGUGAAGGAUGACUGCCCUAUGGGUUGUAAACUUCUUUUAUAAAGGAAUAAAGUCGGGUAUGUAUACCCGUUUGCAUGUACUUUAUGAAUAAGGAUCGGCUAACUCCGUG
RNAcentral lists this ribosomal RNA (489 nucleotides) under uncultured bacterium. RNAcentral's name for it is "bacterial SSU rRNA". It matches the Rfam family "Bacterial small subunit ribosomal RNA", at positions 28 to 507 of the family's 1533-position model. The record is from RNAcentral.